RNAcentral lists this ribosomal RNA (159 nucleotides) under Fusarium decemcellulare. Its description in RNAcentral is "partial large subunit ribosomal RNA". It matches the Rfam family "Eukaryotic large subunit ribosomal RNA", at positions 99 to 261 of the family's 3401-position model. The record is from RNAcentral. Lineage: Eukaryota; Fungi; Ascomycota; Sordariomycetes; Hypocreales; Nectriaceae.
CGGCAACAGCUCAAAUUUGAAAUCUGGCUCUCGGGCCCGAGUUGUAAUUUGUAGAGGAUGCUUUUGGUGCGGUGCCUUCCGAGUGCCCUGGAACGGGACGCCAUAGAGGGUGAGAGCCCCGUCUGGUUGGAUGCCAAUCCUCUGUAAAGCUCCUUCGAC